Molecule: long non-coding RNA, 615 nt
Organism: Zea mays
Lineage: Eukaryota; Viridiplantae; Streptophyta; Magnoliopsida; Poales; Poaceae
Exons: 2
Source: RefSeq, a predicted model, not a curated record
CUUAACUACCUCCUCGUCACCUAGAUCUCAGCCGCCAUCGUCGUGUACGCCUGGGUUGGUGAAGGAGGGAGCACCGCCGGGAGAGAUCGACCGCCGCACCCAUAUCCCGGGUACGCCGCCGGGAGAGAUCGACUGCCGCACCCAUAUCCCGGGUACGCCGCCGGGAGAGAUCGACCGCCGCACCCAUAUCCCGGGUACGUCGCCGGUCGGUGUCCGGGGAGGCGUCAGGGACGUUCCCGAUCGUGCGCAAGCAAGCAAUCGGGCCUAAGCGUCACCAUAGCUUAGCGAAUUGCUCGCCGGUAAUCAGCUCGGCGUCACCAUCCACAUUGUCGUGUGGCCAGCGUCACGUGAACACCGAUAGGAGGGAGGUUACAAGUCACUUGAAGACCAAGUGAGUACCUGUGAAUCUCAAGUCUAAGGCAAGUUGUGCCCUUGAUCACUUUUCUUUACCUAAUAAUGUUUCUGUUAAUCACUGUGACAUGUUCAGAUUAAUUUGAUGGGACCUAAUAUGUUUUCCUAGCAUUAUUUAUCCCUCACCUUGCAAACAGAUGAAUUAUUGGGUAGAUUUGCUAUUGCUCUACCUAGUUUUGGAAAACUAAUGUUUUAUUAUGAUCA